GCCGGGUGUGGUGGUGCACGCCUGUAAUCCCAGCUACUCAGGAGGCUGAGGCAGGAGAAUCACUUGGACCUGGGAGGUGGAGGUUGCAGUGAGCUGAGAUCGUGCCAUUGCACUCCAGCCCGGGCGACAGAGUGAGACUCUGUCUCAA
RNAcentral lists this non-coding RNA (148 nucleotides) under Pan paniscus (pygmy chimpanzee). RNAcentral also lists the same sequence under 1 other name. Lineage: Eukaryota; Metazoa; Chordata; Mammalia; Primates; Hominidae. The record is from Rfam by way of RNAcentral.